AAAUGAAUUGACGGGGGCCCGCACAAGCGGUGGAGCAUGUGGUUUAAUUCGACGCAACGCGAAGAACCUUACCUGGCCUUGACAUGUUGGGAACUUUCCAGAGAUGGAUUGGUGCCUUCGGGAACCCAAACACAGGUGCUGCAUGGCCGUCGUCAGCUCGUGUCGUGAGAUGUUGGGUUAAGUCCCGUAACGAGCGCAACCCCUAUCCCUAGUUGCCAGCACAUGAUGGUGGGAACUCUAGGGAGACUGCCGGUGACAAACCGGAGGAAGGUGGGGAUGACGUCAGGUCAUCAUGGCCCUUACGGCCAGGGCUACACACGUGCUACAAUGGUGCGCACAGAGGGCUGCCAACCCGCGAGGGGGAGCUAAUCUCAUAAAACGCAUCGUAGUCCGGAUCGCAGUCUGCAACUCGACUGCGUGAAGUCGGAAUCGCUAGUAAUCGUGGAUCAGAAUGCCACGGUGAAUACGUUCCCGGGCCUUGUACACACCGCCCGU
Molecule: ribosomal RNA, 495 nt
Filed under: uncultured bacterium
Lineage: Bacteria
Description: bacterial SSU rRNA
Rfam family: Bacterial small subunit ribosomal RNA
Source: RNAcentral